AUUGAACGCUGGCGGCAUGCCUUACACAUGCAAGUCGAACGGUAACAGGGAGCUUGCUCCGCUGACGAGUGGCGAACGGGUGAGUAAUGUAUCGGAACGUACCAUUCAGUGGGGGAUAACGUAGCGAAAGUUACGCUAAUACCGCAUAUUCUGUGAGCAGGAAAGCAGGGGGUCGCAAGACCUUGCGCUGAUUGAGCGGCCGAUAUCAGAUUAGCUAGUUGGUGAGGUAAAGGCUCACCAAGGCGACGAUCUGUAGCGGGUCUGAGAGGAUGAUCCGCCACACUGGAACUGAGACACGGUCCAGACUCCUACGGGAGGCAGCAGUGGGGAAUUUUGGACAAUGGGGGCAACCCUGAUCCAGCCAUGCCGCGUGAGUGAAGAAGGCCUUCGGGUUGUAAAGCUCUUUCGGCCGGGAAAAAUACGCAUCAGUUAAUACCUGGUGUGGAUGAUGGUACCGGAAUAAGAAGACACCGGCUAACUACGUGCCACG
This 490-nucleotide ribosomal RNA is filed under the name uncultured bacterium. RNAcentral describes it as "bacterial SSU rRNA". It matches the Rfam family "Bacterial small subunit ribosomal RNA", at positions 30 to 512 of the family's 1533-position model. The record is from RNAcentral.